This 211-nucleotide ribosomal RNA is filed under the name uncultured bacterium. Its description in RNAcentral is "partial 16S ribosomal RNA". It matches the Rfam family "Bacterial small subunit ribosomal RNA", at positions 1290 to 1500 of the family's 1533-position model. The record is from RNAcentral.
AGUUCGGAUCGCAGGCUGCAACCCGCCUGCGUGAAGUCGGAAUCGCUAGUAAUCGCGGAUCAGCAUGCCGCGGUGAAUACGUUCCCGGGCCUUGUACACACCGCCCGUCACACCAUGAGAGUCGGGAACACCCGAAGUCCGUAGCCUAACCGCAAGGAGGGCGCGGCCGAAGGUGGGUUCGAUAAUUGGGGUGAAGUCGUAACAAGGUACC